This 804-nucleotide long non-coding RNA is filed under the name Cicer arietinum (chickpea). RNAcentral's name for it is "long non-coding RNA (CARI_LNC000083)". The record is from RNAcentral. Lineage: Eukaryota; Viridiplantae; Streptophyta; Magnoliopsida; Fabales; Fabaceae.
UUAAGUGCAAAAAUAAUAUUAAUCAAUUUCAAUAAGGUUGAACCUAUAAAUUGGCGAGCAUUCUUAUUCUUCCACAUCACAAGCUAAUUAGUCUUCAUUCUUUAAACUUGUCCAUUUUAUUUGCUAAUCAAUUUUGAAAAAUGGCACACAUUAGUAACUGCGUCAUGAGCAGAGUAAUAUUGUUGAUGGUGUUGAUUGUGGGGCUUUUGAUGGCUGCUGAGGCUAGGAUACAAGAUGGCGAGUUCACUCAAACUGCGCCAGCUCCAGCCCCUUCUAUGGACGCUGGAGCUGGAUUUUUGAUUACUUAUUCGGGAACAUUUGUUUGUUCUUCGAUUAUUCUAUCUCUAUCUGCUCUUCUCUCACAUUAGAUUGACUUAUUACAUUAAUCAUUCUACAUUUUUUUCUUUAUAGGAUUCAAUUAUUCUAUUUUCUUCUUAAGAUUCAAUUCUCUUAAUUUAUUUGAGUAGGAAGUGAUGAUUAGUAAAUGGUCAGUGCAUUUUUUUUACGGAAAUGGAGAGUGUAUUUUGAUUGUCAUUAUUUUUUUCCAUUAUAAUUGUAUUAUUAUAUCGUAAUCUUCCCCCUAAUUAUUGGUUAGGGUGUUAUUCAUUAUUUCAAUUUUAUAUAUUUACUUGUGGUUUUAAAUCUCUCUUUUCCGGUUAAAAUUUCCUCUCUAGGCUUCUACACAUUCGAGUAAUGUCUCCCUUUCUUAAUAUUUGUUGAUUAAAUCAUUAAGAUAGAAAAUUAGACUAAUCAUAAAUAUUUAAUGCAAAUAGUUGGAGUUCUGUGCUUUAAUGUUGUAAAUUA